GCUGUGACGUGGGUGGUUCGCCGCUUGCGAUGCUGCGAGAAGUCCAUUGAACCUUAUCAUUUAGAGGAAGGAGAAGUCGUAACAAGGUUUCCGUAGGUGAACCUGCGGAAGGAUCAUUGUCGAGACCCAAAAGAGAUCGUGCGAUUUGACAACUUGUGAAUUAUUUUGGCAGCUCUCUUCUGUUGCUGCGCGCACCCAUCCAUCUGUUGCAUGAACUACCUUACGGUGACAUGUUAUAGGUGGAGGGGAGAUCAGCUGGGCACAGCCUUGUGCCAAGGUAAAUAUGAAACAUGAUGAGCAUCAAUCACAUCCUCAAAGCGUGCCGCGUUUUACGGGAUUUUUUUGUUGCUCCUCGAGAAAAAUGUAGGACUCUCGGCAAUGGAUAUCUUGGCUCUCGCAUCGAUGAAGANCGCAGCGAAAUGCGAUACGUGGUGCGAAUUGCAGAAUCCCGUGAACCAUCGAGUUUUUGAACGCAAGUUGCGCCCGAGGCCAGCUGGCCAAGGGCACGUCCGCCUGGGCGUCAAACGUUGAUUCGCUCCCUUUGACAUCACACAUUUCAUCGCUAUGCGAUGGUGUUGUCUCGGAUGCGGAGAAUGGCCCGUCAUGCGUGAUGUGUGGCUGGUUAAAGUGUGGGAUGAUUUUCUCUAGGCACCGAUGAUUAAUGGGUGGGUUACAAUGCAUCAAUUGUCCUCAUCAUCGUUAGGUUGCUUUGAGAAGGCAGUACAAAUCUCAAACUAGACCCAACUCAAGUGCUAGAAGCAAAAYAAUUGAAACGCGACCCCAGGAUGGGCGGGGUGACCCGCUGAGUUUAAG
This 813-nucleotide small RNA is filed under the name Habenaria clypeata. RNAcentral describes it as "eukaryotic LSU rRNA". The stretch from base 368 to 523 matches the Rfam family "5.8S ribosomal RNA". The record is from RNAcentral. Lineage: Eukaryota; Viridiplantae; Streptophyta; Magnoliopsida; Asparagales; Orchidaceae.